RNAcentral lists this transfer RNA (73 nucleotides) under Varanus timorensis. RNAcentral describes it as "tRNA-Leu". It matches the Rfam family "tRNA". From Rfam's summary of the family: Transfer RNA (tRNA) molecules are approximately 80 nucleotides in length. Lineage: Eukaryota; Metazoa; Chordata; Lepidosauria; Squamata; Varanidae. The record is from RNAcentral.
AUUAGGAUAGCUAGUUCGGCACAUGCAAGAGACUUAAAAUCUCGCCACGAAGGUUCAAAUCCUUCUCCUAACC